ACGUACAAGCAGUGGGAGCACAGGUUUACCUGUGUGACUGCGUACCUUUUGUAUAAUGGGUCAGCGACUUAUAUUCUGUAGCAAGGUUAACCGAAUAGGGGAGCCGGAGGGAAACCGAGUCUUAACCGGGCGUUAAGUUGCAGGGUAUAGACCCGAAACCCGGUGAUCUAGCCAUGGGCAGGUUGAAGGUUGGGUAACACUAACUGGAGGACCGAACCGACUAAUGUUGAAAAAUUAGCGGAUGACCUGUGGCU
This 254-nucleotide ribosomal RNA is filed under the name Salmonella enterica subsp. enterica serovar Brancaster. Its description in RNAcentral is "partial 23S ribosomal RNA". It matches the Rfam family "Bacterial large subunit ribosomal RNA", at positions 562 to 816 of the family's 2925-position model. The record is from RNAcentral. Lineage: Bacteria; Pseudomonadati; Pseudomonadota; Gammaproteobacteria; Enterobacterales; Enterobacteriaceae.